Molecule: ribosomal RNA, 450 nt
Filed under: uncultured bacterium
Lineage: Bacteria
Description: partial 16S ribosomal RNA
Rfam family: Bacterial small subunit ribosomal RNA
Source: RNAcentral
CCUACGGGGGGCAGCAGUGGGGAAUAUUGGACAAUGGGGGCAACCCUGAUCCAGCCAUGCCGCGUGUGUGAAGAAGGCCUUCGGGUUGUAAAGCACUUUUGUCGGGGAAGAAACCGUCCGGGUUAAUACCCUGCUUGAUUGACGUUACCCACAGAAUAAGCACCGGCUAACUUCGUGCCAGCAGCCGCGGUAAUACGAAGGGUGCAAGCGUUACUCGGAAUUACUGGGCGCAAAGCGUGCGUAGGCGGGUGAAAGCCCUGGGCUCAACCUGGGAACUGCAGUGGAUACUGGCGAGCUAGAGUGUGGCAGAGGAGGGUGGAAUUUCCGGUGUAGCGGUGAAAUGCGUAGAGAUCGGGAGGAACACCAGUGGCGAAGGCGGCCAUCUGGAACAACACUGACGCUGAGGCACGAAAGCGUGGGGAGCAAACAGGAUUAGAUACCCUAGUAGUC